GUACGAGAGGACCGGAGUGGACGAACCUCUGGUGUUCCGGUUGUCAUGCCAAUGGCAUUGCCGGGUAGCUAUGUUCGGACAGGAUAACCGCUGAAAGCAUCUAAGCGGGAAGCCCCUCCCAAGAUGAGAUCUCACUGGGACUAUAAGUCCCCUGAAGGGCUGUUGAAGACUACAACGUUGAUAGGCAUGGUGUGGAAGCGCAGUAAUGUGUGAAGCUAACAUGUACUAAUUGCCCGUGAGGCUUGACCAU
Molecule: ribosomal RNA, 250 nt
Filed under: Methylicorpusculum sp.
Lineage: Bacteria; Pseudomonadati; Pseudomonadota; Gammaproteobacteria; Methylococcales; Methylococcaceae
Description: partial 23S ribosomal RNA
Rfam family: Bacterial large subunit ribosomal RNA
Source: RNAcentral